Molecule: long non-coding RNA, 957 nt
Filed under: Anas platyrhynchos platyrhynchos (common mallard)
Lineage: Eukaryota; Metazoa; Chordata; Aves; Anseriformes; Anatidae
Description: lncRNA (ENSAPLG00000029290.1)
Source: RNAcentral
GUUUGAAAAGCACUAAAUGGAUGAUGUGGAAAAGUGAAAUAAUAAUAUUGCAGAUGCAGGCAUGAAAUCUGGAUUAAUAUUUUUGGGGGAGUCAAAGUAAGCUGCACUGGAAAGACUGAAAGCAAACAAACAAACAAACAAAAAACAAAAAACAGAAAAACAAAACAAAACAGAACAAAGCAAAAACAACAGAUGGUCCAUCUGGAUUGGACAGGAGAUUUUCACUUGAAGGCUCCACCAGUCCUCUUUCUAUUAAGUGGGCUAAUUGGGAAGUAUUAUUGAGCUGCUGUGGUGACCAGUGUGGAGUAGAGCCUUAACCUAGAUGGAGAGAUUCUGUAUAAGCAUCUUCUGAAUGGGAGAGGUCUGUCCAUCCAGUCAGAAGCAGCAGGAGACAGGACGAGAGACAGGGCUGGAGAUGACCUACAGUGCAUGCCUGAAAGGUUCAUGUGGAAGGAAGACUGCUCUGCUCCUAUCUCCACCAAAGGUCCUGGUCUGGGUUUUAAAAACCUGAAUAAAUAUUGUGUGUAGGAUAUGGUGUCCUUGUUUCACACUGCCAUCCAUGGGAGCUGAAGACAUGCACGCCAUAGAAGAAGUGCUCAGAAGUUCAUAGGCUCCAGUCCUUCUUGUCUAAAUGCAAAGUGCAUUAGGUGACAAUGCCUGUACAUGUACAAUGUCAUACUCAUGUGGACUUACCCUCUAGUUCCUACUUCUACAAGAAAAGACAUAUCGGCCCACCAUUGCAUAUACUGUGAUAUUCUGGCUUCUUCUUGUAGAAGUGCUAGUUUUGUUUAGGUGCAACAGUGGCAUGAGUUGUUCUUUAAGAUCCCUGCUGCUUUUAAUAACCAUUUGGAUACCAGUCUUUCAAAGACCAAUAGCAAGUUCAACUGUCCCCGCCAAAAUCCCUAACCUUGGUAAACAUUAAAAUAACCAGCAAAAUAAAAGUCUUCAACCUUGUCA